This is a non-coding RNA of Candidatus Tremblaya princeps PCVAL, 72 nucleotides long. NCBI's taxonomy places the organism in Bacteria, Pseudomonadati, Pseudomonadota, Betaproteobacteria. The record is from Rfam.
GGAGCGUUAGCUCAGCGGCAGAGCGGCGGACUCUUAAUCCGCGCGCCGAGUGUUCGAAUCACUCACGCUCCA